UAACGAAGACCAUCGAUCGAUCUCCAGAAUCAUAUACGAUAAUCUCAUAGGAACAUCAUCGUCUCCUAUUAUACCUCUGGUGGGUUUCAAUUCGUGAAUUCUACGAAGAGUGAAGGAUGAUUAGCAAGUAAUUUCAGACAAUGGAGGAGACAAUGAGAUAUUGUCAUUAUAGCUAUUCAUAAAUAUAUGUAUCAAAGGUUAGUAAGAUUCUUAAUUUUUAAAAUUUUGUUGAUUAUGUUUGCAGAGUUCCCUGGUUUUAUUGAGCUUAAGAUACGUUACUUUAUAUAUGGCACAUUGUUUUGAUCUUGUAUUUUAAAACAAAAUCAUCCUUGCCUGUGUAUUAACGAUUUAAUGUGAAGGAUGAUUUGCGAUACAGACAAUGAGACUAUGGGAGAAGCUCUAUGAUUUUGUCAGUGUAGCUAUAAGAAAAUAUAUAUGUAAAAGCAUUCGAUUCUAUUAACAUAAAAAUAUGGAGAAGGGAAGAGUUAUAUAGUCAUUGCCUCAUUGGAGAUAUCCAGAAAUAUAUAUGUAAAAGGUUAGUGCCUCAUGUGACUUUUAUACUGUUGUUUAUUCAUAUUAGUCUUUGUAUGUUUAAUCAAAAGUAGUAUAUCAUAACAACGAUGAAGAUCCUGCAAGAUA
This is a long non-coding RNA of Arabidopsis lyrata subsp. lyrata, 639 nucleotides long. RefSeq lists it as uncharacterized. NCBI's taxonomy places the organism in Eukaryota, Viridiplantae, Streptophyta, Magnoliopsida, Brassicales, Brassicaceae. The record is from RefSeq and is a predicted model, not a curated record. The transcript has 3 exons.